GAUAAUUUUUCUGAGAGUUUCCUUGGCCUAGAUAUCGCCUAAGAAUACCUAGGAAUCGAUUUAGAUCGAAGAAAAAGUUCGGAAACCCUAUUUUACAUAGUGGCCGAAACCUAUUGCUUAGGGUACCGUGUCCAAAAAUAAUUUUUGGGUCUCUAUGACCUGAGCCAUUGCGUAGCUCUUUCGAUUGUCGAAAUUUUGGCGCUGGUUUCGUGUCAUUCCGAGUUCUGUAGCUCGAGUUAUGCUCGUUUUAGCGAACGAGGUUCUGUCGUCUAUCCAUGCUUAAAAAAAUUGUACUCUGAAGCUUCUUAAGCUUUGUCUAAACGCUAGUUAGUAUUGUAUUGACCGAAUUGACUUGUUUUGAUUGACCUUCGCUUCGUUUACUCAAAGAUUCGUUUGGAGGAACACUUGGAGCAGGAAAAGAGGAUUGUGAAGGAGCCUUGCUUGAACACACUGGACGAGUUCGAGACGUCCAACAGCUGAUUCAAGAUGGAUCGUCGUUCGGGGAGGAUCCGGAGCGCAAUGACUAUUACUGAGCCUUUGACGUGGACCCGGACUUCAUGCAUGAUCGGAUGAGGGUCGAUGUUAGGAGUGUAUUAUAUGGGGGGAUUGUUUUCACAGCUCUGAUUGUCAUUUCCCGUUUUGGGGCUGACUUAUCUCCUUGAAAACUGUAUUCAUAAAACUCAUGGCUCUGACCAUGGGAUGCACUUAUUCGCCUGCGGGCACUAUCCCCAAUUACUUUAUGUUUAUUA
This is a long non-coding RNA of Lotus japonicus, 749 nucleotides long. RefSeq lists it as uncharacterized. Lineage: Eukaryota; Viridiplantae; Streptophyta; Magnoliopsida; Fabales; Fabaceae. The record is from RefSeq and is a predicted model, not a curated record. The transcript has 2 exons.